Molecule: ribosomal RNA, 555 nt
Filed under: Salmonella enterica subsp. enterica serovar Infantis
Lineage: Bacteria; Pseudomonadati; Pseudomonadota; Gammaproteobacteria; Enterobacterales; Enterobacteriaceae
Also listed under: 3 other names
Description: partial 23S ribosomal RNA
Rfam family: Bacterial large subunit ribosomal RNA
Source: RNAcentral
AGACCCGAAACCCGGUGAUCUAGCCAUGGGCAGGUUGAAGGUUGGGUAACACUAACUGGAGGACCGAACCGACUAAUGUUGAAAAAUUAGCGGAUGACCUGUGGCUGGGGGUGAAAGGCCAAUCAAACCGGGAGAUAGCUGGUUCUCCCCGAAAGCUAUUUAGGUAGCGCCUCGUGAAUUCAUCUCCGGGGGUAGAGCACUGUUUCGGCUAGGGGGCCAUCCCGGCUUACCAACCCGAUGCAAACUGCGAAUACCGGAGAAUGUUAUCACGGGAGACACACGGCGGGUGCUAACGUCCGUCGUGAAGAGGGAAACAACCCAGACCGCCAGCUAAGGUCCCAAAGUCAUGGUUAAGUGGGAAACGAUGUGGGAAGGCCCAGACAGCCAGGAUGUUGGCUUAGAAGCAGCCAUCAUUUAAAGAAAGCGUAAUAGCUCACUGGUCGAGUCGGCCUGCGCGGAAGAUGUAACGGGGCUAAACCAUGCACCGAAGCUGCGGCAGCGAACGUAUCACUUAAAGCGAUUCAGCGGGUUACGAUUGACGGAGCGAAGCGACGU